GUGAACUACUUCUUUAAUAUUAGGCUCACAAGUGAAAGCUCUGCUCGAGUUAUGGACAGUAAAAUUACAACAUUACAACCUUUGCUCUCCACGGUCACGGAACUGCUAUAUAUGUCCCAAAUAAAACUUCAUUAAGUUCAAGAUGUAAUAAUGCAUUUGUGCUUCUGCAUUGUGCCUUUCAUUCAGCUUCCAUUAGGUGAUGCAUUGACAGGAUUUGGUCUGUCGUGUCUUUCAAUGCAUUCCCCCUUUCCUUUGCUCACUUAUUCCCCUGUCGCAGUCAUUGGACAACAGAAGACCGAACACUAGACUUCUGUUCCUGUUACUCUAGAGAAUGAAAAGAUUGUUCCCGGCCUGCCAAAACGACAUGGAUUCUCCAUUCCUCUGAGAAUUCCUUCUCUUCGUCCACAAAAGUGAUAAACACGCUCAAAUAAAAAACAAAAAAAACGCUGAGGUACACGGUGUCCGACUUCUCAACGGAGAUCUUUCAGCUGCUAAAACCAGUGUAAAGCUCAGAGACACUGAUGCCUCACUGAAAUCUUUCUCACACCGUUUCUCACACAAUGCCUGAAUGGGGCUUAGUGAAGGAGAAGGGGAGGGGAAUCUUUUCAGUUCUUCAAAUGCAACAAUAGUCUUUGUCUACAAUGUCCCUCCAUUCUUAUUGGGGUUACCGAAGGGGACGGGGUGGUGGGGCCCGGUUGCCAUGGUAACGGUGACAAAACAAGCCGGUCCCCAGAGCAAGAGAGAGACACACACACACAAAACAUGCUUCAAAUCUGGGACGGGAUCUCUGUAUCAAUCUCUGCAGUUUAGUUAGAGGAGAGUGUGUGUGCCAAAGGAGGAGGAAGAAAGGAAGGAUGGAUGGGUGGAAGAAAAGCCAGUGAAAAACACCGGAGCGGUAUAUAAAAGAGGGACGUUUGGACCAGGACUCGUCUGGAUAUCAUGAUGAACUCUGACACUCAGUACGAGGACUCUGUGUCUGUUAUGGUUCUGGAGAACAUCAAGAACAAGCUGUUGCACGCUUUCAGAACAUCGGCAGAACCGAGAGCAUCGGCUGAGACGGAUAGAGUGACUCCUCCAAGCGGGAAGAGUUUCCAGGUUAACGAAGAGCUCCGGAGAGCCAAAAUCGAUGGAGCCAUAACUUGGUUAAGAUCAGAACUGCUGGAGAUGCGGUCUCAGGAUCGACGGCUCGCUCAGACUCUUCUGGGACUCAAUAAGGAGAUCCAGAGGCUCCGACGGGAGAAUGGGUCCCUGCUCCUGGAAUCUGACAGCAAUGACCUCUGACCCCACAGACGACCAUGACCUCUGAUCCCACAGACGGCCUUGACCUCUGCGCCCUCAGACAGCAAUGACAUCUGACCCAACAGACGGCUGUGACCUCUGCCCCCACAAACAGCAAUGACCUCUGACCCCACAGAUGGCCAUGACCUCUGCCCCCACAGACGGCAAUGCCCUCUGCCCCACAGAUGACCAUCACCUCUGACCCAACAAACGGCCAUGACCUCUGCCCCCACAGAAGGCCAUGACCUCUGACCCCACAGACGGCAAUGCCCUCUGCCCCCACAGAUGACCAUGUUCUCUGACCCAUAGACAUAAUAUAUACAUAGACGCCCUAUUGGCCGCUUUGGAACGUUGCUGCGAUACGUCAACGGGUCGGCCAUUUUGCGGAGGUCAAGAGUGCACUGUAAUUAAAUAUGACCAUGACCUCUGACCCCACAGACAGCAAUGACCUCUGUGAGGAGAAGCAGAAGGAAGCUCCUCUCUGCUGGUUCUCGGAGCCCAAGGCUUAUUUCCACACGUCUUCAGGGAAAAGAUUCUGAGGGCAUUUUCAUGUAGGCCUACGCAAAACCUUGACCAAAUAUCAGGCAAACUGGGUGCUAAGAUUUAUAUUCAAAACCACUGACACCCCUCUUUACACCCGGCAUCAACACGUGUUAUGGGCGAUCAGAUCACAGCACUGGAUCAACACAGUGUGACCAGAUCGCUGACACCUGGAGAUGCUGUACAUUGUUUAUAUAUACGUAUAUGAAUUUACAUGUUUCUGCCAGAUGUAAAAAGGGGACCAAAGAAAAGCCUUAUAAAGGCUAUUAAGACUUUUUUUAAAGCAUGCUUGAGAUAGAAACAAGUUUUAUGAUUAAUUUGUGUACAGAAGAUGUAGCUCUUUGUUCCGUUAUGUGGCUGUAUGACUGGAAAACCAAGUGUUGUUUUUUCAGCUUUGAACACAUUUGAACAAUUAGCAUAGCAUAAUUAGCAUAGCAAUGUGCAUGAAGCACGUCAUCAUCUGUUUAUUAAAAUGUCUUGAUGAUUAAAA
RNA transcript from Pimephales promelas (fathead minnow), 2308 nucleotides. It is a transcript of the gene named alanine and arginine rich domain containing protein, with no coding region annotated. The record is from RefSeq and is a predicted model, not a curated record. NCBI's taxonomy places the organism in Eukaryota, Metazoa, Chordata, Actinopteri, Cypriniformes, Leuciscidae.